Molecule: ribosomal RNA, 610 nt
Filed under: uncultured bacterium
Lineage: Bacteria
Description: bacterial SSU rRNA
Rfam family: Bacterial small subunit ribosomal RNA
Source: RNAcentral
CUCCUACGGGAGGCAGCAGUGAGGAAUAUUGGACAAUGGGCGCAAGCCUGAUCCAGCCAUGCCGCGUGCAGGAAGAAGCAUCUAUGGUGUGUAAACUGCUUUUGUACGGGAAGAAACACUCCUACGUGUAGGAGCUUGACGGUACCGUAAGAAUAAGGAUCGGCUAACUCCGUGCCAGCAGCCGCGGUAAUACGGAGGAUCCAAGCGUUAUCCGGAAUCAUUGGGUUUAAAGGGUCCGUAGGCGGUUUAGUAAGUCAGUGGUGAAAGCCCAUCGCUCAACGAUGGAACGGCCAUUGAUACUGCUAGACUUGAAUUACUAGGAAGUAACUAGAAUAUGUAGUGUAGCGGUGAAAUGCUUAGAUAUUACAUGGAAUACCAAUUGCGAAGGCAGGUUACUACUAGUGGAUUGACGCUGAUGGACGAAAGCGUGGGGAGCGAACAGGAUUAGAUACCCUGGUAGUCCACGCCGUAAACGAUGGAUACUAGCUGUUGGGCGCAAGUUCAGUGGCUAAGCGAAAGUGAUAAGUAUCCCACCUGGGGAGUACGUUCGCAAGAAUGAAACUCAAAGGAAUUGACGGGGGCCCGCACAAGCGGUGGAGCAUGUGGUUUA